RNAcentral lists this transfer RNA (48 nucleotides) under Triphysaria eriantha. RNAcentral's name for it is "partial tRNA-Leu". Lineage: Eukaryota; Viridiplantae; Streptophyta; Magnoliopsida; Lamiales; Orobanchaceae. RNAcentral also lists the same sequence under 5 other names. The record is from RNAcentral.
AAAUCCGUCGACUUUUAAAAUCGUGAGGGUUCAAGUCCCUCUAUCCCC